GGAAAGGUGAAAAGCACCCCGGGAGGGGAGUGAAAUAGAACCUGAAACCGUGUGCCUACAACAAGUUCGAGCCCGUUAAUGGGUGAGAGCGUGCCUUUUGUAGAAUGAACCGGCGAGUUACGUUAUGAUGCGAGGUUAAGUUGAAGAGACGGAGCCGUAGGGAAACCGAGUCUGAAUAGGGCGCUUUAGUAUCAUGACGUAGACCCGAAACCAUGUGACCUACCCAUGAGCAGGUUGAAGGUGCGGUAAAACGCACUGGAGGACCGAACCAGGGCACGUUGAAAAGUGCUUGGAUGACUUGUGGGUAGCGGAGAAAUUCCAAACGAACUUGGAGAUAGCUGGUUCUCUCCGAAAUAGCUUUAGGGCUAGCGUCGACAUAAAGAUUCUUGGAGGUAGAGCACUGUUUGGGUGAGGGGUCCAUCCCGGAUUACCAAUCUCAGAUAAACUCCGAAUGCCAAUGAAUUAUGGUCGGCAGUCAGACUGCGAGUGCUAAGAUCCGUAGUCGAAAGGGAAACAGCCCAGACCACCAGCUAAGGUCCCAAAAUAAUUGUUAAGUGGAAAAGGAUGUGGGGUUGCACAGACAACUAGGAUGUUAGCUUAGAAGCAGCUAUUCAUUCAAAGAGUGCGUAAUAGCUCACUAGUCGAGUGACCCUGCGCCGAAAAUGUACCGGGGCUAAAACAAUUUACCGAAGCUGUGGAUCCCUUAGGGGAUGGUAGGAGAGCGUUCUAUGUGUGGAGAAGGUGUACCGUGAGGAGCGCUGGAACGCAUAGAAGUGAGAAUGCCGGUAUGAGUAGCGAAAGACAGGUGAGAAUCCUGUCCACCGUAAGACUAAGGUUUCCAGGGGAAGGCUCGUCCGCCCUGGGUUAGUCGGGACCUAAGGAGAGACCGAAGGGUGUAUCCGAUGGCCAACAGGUUGAUAUUCCUGUACUAGAGUAUGAAGUGAUGGAGGGACGCAGUAGGCUAACUAAAGCAGACGAUUGGAAGAGUCUGUCUAAGCAGUGAGGCGUGGUAUGAGUCAAAUGCUUAUACCUAUAACGUUGAGCUGUGAUGGGGAGCGAAGUUUAGUAGCGAAGUUAGUGAUGUCACACUGCCAAGAAAAGCUUCUAGCGAUGUAUCAUACUCUACCCGUACCGCAAACCGACACAGGUAGUCGAGGCGAGUAGCCUCAGGUGAGCGAGAGAACUCUCGUUAAGGAACUCGGCAAAAUGACCCCGUAACUUCGGGAGAAGGGGUGCUGAUUUAGGUCAGCCGCAGUGAAUAGGCCCAAGCAACUGUUUAUCAAAAACACAGCUCUCUGCUAAAUCGUAAGAUGAUGUAUAGGGGGUGACGCCUGCCCGGUGCUGGAAGGUUAAGAGGAGUGCUUAGCGGUAACGCGAAGGUAUGAAUUGAAGCCCCAGUAAACGGCGGCCGUAACUAUAACGGUCCUAAGGUAGCGAAAUUCCUUGUCGGGUAAGUUCCGACCCGCACGAAAGGCGUAAUGAUUUGGGCACUGUCUCAACGAGAGACUCGGUGAAAUUUUAGUACCUGUGAAGAUGCAGGUUACCCGCGACAGGACGGAAAGACCCCAUGGAGCUUUACUGCAGUUUGAUAUUGAGUGUCUGUGCCACAUGUACAGGAUAGGUAGGAGCCUAUGAGAUCGGGACGCCAGUUUCGAUGGAGGCGCUGUUGGGAUACUACCCUUGUGUUAUGGCCACUCUAACCCGGAUAGGUGAUCCCUAUCGGAGACAGUGUCUGACGGGCAGUUUGACUGGGGCGGUCGCCUCCUAAAAGGUAACGGAGGCGCCCAAAGGUUCCCUCAGACUGGUUGGAAAUCAGUCGCAGAGUGUAAAGGUAUAAGGGAGCUUGACUGCGAGAGCUACAACUCGAGCAGGGACGAAAGUCGGGCUUAGUGAUCCGGUGGUUCCGCAUGGAAGGGCCAUCGCUCAACGGAUAAAAGCUACCCCGGGGAUAACAGGCUUAUCUCCCCCAAGAGUUCACAUCGACGGGGAGGUUUGGCACCUCGAUGUCGGCUCAUCGCAUCCUGGGGCUGUAGUCGGUCCCAAGGGUUGGGCUGUUCGCCCAUUAAAGCGGCACGCGAGCUGGGUUCAGAACGUCGUGAGACAGUUCGGUCCCUAUCCGUCGCGGGCGUAGGAAAUUUGAGAGGAUCUGCUCCUAGUACGAGAGGACCAGAGUGGACUUACCGCUGGUGUACCAGUUGUCUUGCCAAAGGCAUCGCUGGGUAGCUAUGUAGGGAAGGGAUAAACGCUGAAAGCAUCUAAGUGUGAAACCCACCUCAAGAUGAGAUUUCCCAUAACGCAAGUUAGUAAGAGCCCUGAGAGAAGAUCAGGUUGAUAGGUUAGGAGUGGAAGUGUGGUGACACAUGGAGCGGACUAAUACUAAUAGCUCGAGGACUUAUCCAA
RNAcentral lists this ribosomal RNA (2400 nucleotides) under human gut metagenome. RNAcentral describes it as "bacterial LSU rRNA". It matches the Rfam family "Bacterial large subunit ribosomal RNA", at positions 508 to 2925 of the family's 2925-position model. The record is from RNAcentral.